UGGGGAAUUUUGGACAAUGGGGGAAACCCUGAUCCAGCCAUCCCGCGUGUGCGAUGAAGGCCUUCGGGUUGUAAAGCACUUUUGGCAGGAAAGAAACGUCAUGGGUUAAUACCCCGUGAAACUGACGGUACCUGCAGAAUAAGCACCGGCUAACUACGUGCCAGCAGCCGCGGUAAUACGUAGGGUGCAAGCGUUAAUCGGAAUUACUGGGAGUAAAGCGUGCGCAGGCGGUUCGGAAAGAAAGAUGUGAAAUCCCAGAGCUCAACUUUGGAACUGCAUUUUGAACUACCGGACUAGAGUGUGUCAGAGGGAGGUGGAAUUCCGCGUGUAGCAGUGAAAUGCGUAGAUAUGCGGAGGAACACCGAUGGCGAAGGCAGCCUCCUGGGAUAACACUGACGCUCAUGCACGAAGGCGUGGGGAGCAAACAGG
This 429-nucleotide ribosomal RNA is filed under the name Acidobacteriota bacterium. RNAcentral describes it as "Acidobacteria bacterium partial 16S ribosomal RNA". It matches the Rfam family "Bacterial small subunit ribosomal RNA", at positions 355 to 776 of the family's 1533-position model. Lineage: Bacteria; Pseudomonadati; Acidobacteriota. The record is from RNAcentral.